UUAUAAGAGACAGCAGUCGCCGCGGUAAUACGGAGGGUGCAAGCGUUAAUCGGAAUUACUGGGCGUAAAGCGCACGCAGGCGGUCUGACAAGUCAGAUGUGAAAUCCCCGGGCUUAACCUGGGAACUGCAUUUGAAACUGUCAGGCUGGAGUCUUGUAGAGGGGGGUAGAAUUCCAGGUGUAGCGGUGAAAUGCGUAGAGAUCUGGAGGAAUACCGGUGGCGAAGGCGGCCCCCUGGACAAAGACUGACGCUCAGGUGCGAAAGCGUGGGGAGCAAACAGGAUUAGAUACCCCUGUAGUCCCUGUCUCUUAUAC
RNAcentral lists this ribosomal RNA (314 nucleotides) under uncultured bacterium. RNAcentral describes it as "partial 16S ribosomal RNA". It matches the Rfam family "Bacterial small subunit ribosomal RNA", at positions 499 to 807 of the family's 1533-position model. The record is from RNAcentral.